GAAGGAGGAUCUGUCCGAGGACCAGCAGAAAGCAGCCCACCAGCAUCUUCUCCAUCUUCAAGAAGAGGAAGAGGGGCAAGGCUGUGACAAAUACAAGAAGAGGAGAGAGCAGGAAAUCAGGAUUAUUACUUCUGCUUUUUGGAGAUGAGGAAACUGAGGCUCAGAGAAGCUCAGCAAUUUGAUCAAGGUCAUGCAGCUAAAAGUCCCCCAGGACUGGAGCCACAGCAAGAUCCGAGGCUCAUCUUCCACCUGAGACCGGAAUCCCCACCUCCUUCCUGCCUGUCUGGCCAUCGGAACCCAACCACUGCUCAGAC
Molecule: long non-coding RNA, 314 nt
Organism: Neofelis nebulosa (Clouded leopard)
Lineage: Eukaryota; Metazoa; Chordata; Mammalia; Carnivora; Felidae
Exons: 3
Source: RefSeq, a predicted model, not a curated record